Molecule: ribosomal RNA, 527 nt
Filed under: Gephyromantis salegy
Lineage: Eukaryota; Metazoa; Chordata; Amphibia; Anura; Mantellidae
Description: partial 16S ribosomal RNA
Rfam family: Bacterial large subunit ribosomal RNA
Source: RNAcentral
UCCAGCCUGCCCAGUGACCCUGUUUAACGGCCGCAGUACCCUAACUGCGCGAAGGUAGCAUAAUCACUUGUUCUUUAAAUGAGGACUUGUAUCAACGGCAUCACGAGGGUUCCACUGUCUCCCUUUUCUAAUCAGUGAAACUAAUCUCCCCGUGAAGAAGCGGGGAUAAACCUAUAAGACGAGAAGACCCCAUGGAGCUUUAAACUUAGCUGCACCCUCCUCUCCCAUACCCUCUUAUCAAUUGAAGUCCUACAUGCUAAGUCUUAGGUUGGGGCGACCACGGAGUACAACUAAACCUCCAUGAUGAAUGAACCUACCCUCUUAUCUGAGAAGUACACUUCUAAGAACUAGCACACUAACAAAAUGAUCCGAUUAUCGAUCAACGAACUAAGUUACCCUGGGGAUAACAGCGCAAUCCAUUUCAAGAGCUCCUAUCAACAAAUGGGUUUACGACCUCGAUGUUGGAUCAGGGUAUCCUAGUGGUGCAGCAGCUACUAAAGGUUCGUUUGUUCAACGAUUAAAACCCU